CGUGAGAUGUUGGGUUAAGUCCCGCAACGAGCGCAACCCUUGCCAUUAGUUGCUACGAAAGGGCACUCUAAUGGGACUGCCGGUGACAAACCGGAGGAAGGUGGGGAUGACGUCAGGUCAUCAUGGCCCUUAUGGGUAGGGCUACACACGUCAUACAAUGGCCGGUACAGAGGCUGCCAACCCGCGAGGGGGAGCCAAUCCCAGAAAACCGGUCGUAGUCCGGAUCGUAGUCUGCAACUCGACUGCG
Molecule: ribosomal RNA, 247 nt
Filed under: uncultured bacterium
Lineage: Bacteria
Description: partial 16S ribosomal RNA
Rfam family: Bacterial small subunit ribosomal RNA
Source: RNAcentral